GACGAACGCUGGCGGCGUGCCUAAUACAUGCAAGUAGAACGCUGAAGAGAGGAGCUUGCUCUUCUUGGAUGAGUUGCGAACGGGUGAGUAACGCGUAGGUAACCUGCCUGGUAGCGGGGGAUAACUAUUGGAAACGACAGCUAAUACCGCAUAAAAUUGAUUAUUGCAUGAUAGUCAAUUGAAAGGUGCAACUGCACCACUACCAGAUGGACCUGCGUUGUAUUAGCUAGUUGGCGGGGUAACGGCUCACCAAGGCGACGAUACAUAGCCGACCUGAGAGGGUGAUCGGCCACACUGGGACUGAGACACGGCCCAGACUCCUACGGGAGGCAGCAGUAGGGAAUCUUCGGCAAUGGACGGAAGUCUGACCGAGCAACGCCGCGUGAGUGAAGAGGGUUUUCGGAUCGUAAAGCUCUGUUGUAAGAGAAGAACGAGUGUGAGAGUGGAAAGUUCACACUGUGACGGUAUCUUACCAGAAAGGGACGGCUAACUACGUGCCAGCAGCCGCGGUAAUACGUAGGUCCCGAGCGUUGUCCGGAUUUAUUGGGCGUAAAGCGAACGCAGGCGGUUAGAUAAGUCUGAAGUUAAAGGCUGUGGCUUAACCAUAGUACGCUUUGGAAACUGUUUAACUUGAGUGCAAGAGGGGAGAGUGGAAAUUCCAUGUGUAGCGGUGAAAUGCGUAGAUAUAUGGAGGAACACCGGUGGCGAAAGCGGCUCUCUGGCUUGUAACUGACGCUGAGGCUCGAAAGCGUGGGGAGCAAACAG
RNAcentral lists this ribosomal RNA (765 nucleotides) under uncultured Streptococcus sp. Its description in RNAcentral is "bacterial SSU rRNA". It matches the Rfam family "Bacterial small subunit ribosomal RNA", at positions 28 to 775 of the family's 1533-position model. Lineage: Bacteria; Bacillati; Bacillota; Bacilli; Lactobacillales; Streptococcaceae. The record is from RNAcentral.